Molecule: ribosomal RNA, 254 nt
Filed under: uncultured bacterium
Lineage: Bacteria
Description: partial 16S ribosomal RNA
Rfam family: Bacterial small subunit ribosomal RNA
Source: RNAcentral
UACGUAGGGCGCAAGCGUUGUCCGGAAUUAUUGGGCGUAAAGAGCUCGUAGGCGGCUUGUCGCGUCGGAUGUGAAAGCCCGGGGCUUAACCCCGGGUCUGCAUUCGAUACGGGCAGGCUAGAGUGUGGUAGGGGAGAUCGGAAUUCCUGGUGUAGCGGUGAAAUGCGCAGAUAUCGGGAGGAACACCAGUGGCGAAGGCGGGUCUCUGGGCCGAUACUGACGCUGAGGAGCGAAAGCGUGGGGAGCGAACGAGG